Molecule: ribosomal RNA, 751 nt
Filed under: uncultured Bacteroidota bacterium
Lineage: Bacteria; Pseudomonadati; Bacteroidota
Description: bacterial SSU rRNA
Rfam family: Bacterial small subunit ribosomal RNA
Source: RNAcentral
GAUUAGUUUGAUCCUGGCUCAGGAUGAACGCUAGCGGCAGGCUUAAUACAUGCAAGUCGGACGGUAACAGGUGCAGCAAUGCAUGCUGACGAGUGGCGCACGGGUGCGUAACACGUAUGCAACCUACCCUUAACCGGGACAUAACCCUUAGAAAUGGGGGCUAAUAUCCCAUGGUAUUACGAUAAGGCAUCUUGUUGUAAUUAAAGAUUUAUUGGUUAAGGAUGGGCAUGCGUCCCAUUAGUUAGUUGGAGAGGUAACGGCUCACCAAGACUGUGAUGGGUAGGGGUCCUGAGAGGGUUAUCCCCCACACUGGUACUGAGACACGGACCAGACUCCUACGGGAGGCAGCAGUAGGGAAUAUUGGGCAAUGGAGGCAACUCUGACCCAGCCAUGCCGCGUGCAGGAAGACGGCCCUAUGGGUUGUAAACUGCUUUUAUACGGGAAUAAUUCCACUUACGGGUUAAGUGGUUGCAAGUACCGUAAGAAUAAGCAUCGGCUAACUCCGUGCCAGCAGCCGCGGUAAUACGGAGGAUGCGAGCGUUAUCCGGAUUUAUUGGGUUUAAAGGGUGCGUAGGCUGGUACUUAAGUCAGUGGUGAAAUUUUCCGGCUUAACCGGGAGGCUGCCGUUGGUACUGGGUACCUUGAGUUUAGAUGAUGUGGGCGGAAUGUGUCAUGUAGCGGUGAAAUGCAUAGAGAUGACACAGAACACCGAUAGCGAAGGCAGCUCACAAAGCUAUAACUGACGCUGAGG